RNAcentral lists this ribosomal RNA (427 nucleotides) under uncultured bacterium. RNAcentral's name for it is "bacterial SSU rRNA". It matches the Rfam family "Bacterial small subunit ribosomal RNA", at positions 355 to 774 of the family's 1533-position model. The record is from RNAcentral.
UGGGGAAUUUUGGACAAUGGGCGAAAGCCUGAUCCAGCCAUGCCGCGUGAGUGAAGAAGGCCUUCGGGUUGUAAAGCUCUUUUAGUCGGAAAGAAAGAGUUGCAAUGAAUAAUUGUGAUUUAUGACGGUACCGACAGAAAAAGCACCGGCUAACUACGUGCCAGCAGCCGCGGUAAUACGUAGGGUGCGAGCGUUAAUCGGAAUUACUGGGCGUAAAGGGUGCGCAGGCGGUCUUGCAAGUCAGAUGUGAAAGCCCCGGGCUUAACCUGGGAAAUGCGUUUGAAACUACAAGAAUAGAGUGCAGCAGAGGGGAGUGGAAUUCCAUGUGUAGCAGUGAAAUGUGUAGAGAUGUGGAAGAACACCGAUGGCGAAGGCAGCUCCCUGGGUUGACACUGACGCUCACGCACGAAAGCGUGGGGAGCAAACA